UUUUAAUAUGGCAGAUUAGUGCUAUAGAUCUAAAAUCUAUUAAUAAAGUUUUCUUUUAUUAAAA
RNAcentral lists this transfer RNA (64 nucleotides) under Dinoponera lucida. Its description in RNAcentral is "tRNA-Leu". The record is from RNAcentral. Lineage: Eukaryota; Metazoa; Arthropoda; Insecta; Hymenoptera; Formicidae.